GUGACGGGAGCCGCGGGAACGUGCGGUGGGUUCCAGGAACAAGUGUGGGAAAUGGUAUCAAAGGCUAGGCUUCCUUGGAAUGUCCGCAAACACACUCCGUGAAAGUUUUGAAGAUGAAAGGCAGAUCAAACAGAAACUGCAGCUGCUAACUUUACUGCGACCUUAUUUCUGACAUAAAAUGCCCUCAGCGUAUUCUCACGUAUGGACCAAACUGCCUUCGUUAAAGGUGCGGGUCAUGGCAGCCCCGCGCCUGCGCAGAGCAGACGCGGCGCAGCUCAGCAGCCGAUCUGCUCUGUGACGACACAGAGACUGCUACGCCACCGCCGCCCGGCUCCUCAGGGACUGCCUGGUCCCCGCCCGCAGUGAGGGAGGCGGGCUGCCGGUCAGAGGGCGGAGGCCUAGCGAGGUGGAAGUCUCCGGCGACUGCUGUUCACGCCUCUAGGGGGCCGGGAGGGAACAUCUACGCCGGAAGUGGUAGCGUGGCCGAGCGGUCUAAGGCGCUGGAUUAAGGCUCCAGUCUCUUCGGGGGCGUGGGUUCGAAUCCCACCGCUGCCAGGGCUUCUUUUUCUUUCUUCACGCUCAGUGUGGACCGUUCCCACAUCCUGAGUCAGGCCCCUUUUUCUCCUCCUUUGACUCGUGUUUACUCCGGAUACAGCCGCGGCCCGGCCAGGAGGUGCUUUUGUUCUCGCGGUCCUCCGUACGAACGAAGGACCGUACGACAGACUCCGGCAUCCCUUUGUACCUCGAGGCACAUCCUCCGACGCCUGUGAAGGAAUAAGAGGUGUCCAGAAUGGCCCCGGAUCUUCCUGAGGCCCCGGCAGCGGCCUGUCUCGUGUCUGGAACCCUGUGCAGAUCCGACAAAAGACCCCCCGCGGAGGGGGUACUGGUCCCAUGACUGCGGACACACCCGCCAGCGACAGGUGUGUCCCAGCGCCGGGGUUUUCUAAGUGGACUUCCUCCAGGAGGGUGAGGAUGGAUGACACAGCACUAAGAACAUACUAGAACCAGCUGUCACACGGCACACGGCUGGUGACUGGAGCUUCCCCGUCACUCACCUGGGAAGGAGCAGGUCAGGAACCCCCAGUCCUGCAGGUCCUCAGCGCAGGGCACGGCCCCUUGCUCCAGAUGGGAGAUGAGGGGUGGCUUAGGGCAGGCAAGGCCUGCUCGUGGAGAAGGGAAGUCAGUGUGCAUAGCAGAUCACCUCUGUCCCAACACCCGGCCUUGACCCUUCUGCUCACACUGCAGAGGAGAGUGUCAGCAGGGGGGAGAAAAGGGUGUACUUGGGGGGGUCUGCCAAGGUGUAAGCAAGCACCUAGGGAUGACCUCAGAAAGGUCACGCUCAGAAGGGCAGAGGAGGAGACCCCAGGAAGCAGUCACUUGGUUGUAUUUUCCCCGUUGUGGCUGCGAGGCAAGAGUGAGGGCUCUGACUUUCACUGGGAGGCCUGGAGACGUCAAUAGACAGCAAGUAAAGAGUAAGGACAGGAAAAAGGACUAAGCCAAGCACGGGGUGUCCUCACCAGCCGACAGCAUGUUGCCAUAGUUCUCCAGCAUCACGUCAGUGUACAGGUGCCUCUGGGCGCGGGUCAGACACUGCCACUCUCCGCUACUGAAGCACACGGCCACAUCCUCAAACGUCACCGCGUCCUGCAAGGAUAUGCUCCCGCUGACCCGGAGGAAACCCCAGUCCCCAGGAAACAGACGCAGAAGAAGGGAUUCUCAGGAGGUUUCUAGAAAUGAAAGGAAGGAUGGAGGGGCCUCAGCUUGCCUGGGCCCCACUCACCGGUGUGGUGUUUGCUCCUGGCCGGUCUCCGUGGCUUCCGUCAUUGGCAAAGGCAGGAUGCUGAGGAGCCCGCAGGGCUGAGGGAAGAGAAAUGGGUCAACCUGGCACGAUCACUCACUCUGAGGGAGGCCAGCUGUCACAUUGUGAGGAGCGGCCCACGUGGUGAGGAAAUGAAACCCCCGCCAACAGCCAUUUGAAUGAGUUUAGAAGUGCAUCCUCCAGCCCCCGGUCUAGCCAUCAGAUGACUACAGCCCAGGUCACAGACUCAAAGCCAACAGCUGAGCUGCUCUCAGAUUCCUGAUCUGCAGAAACUG
Molecule: long non-coding RNA, 2094 nt
Organism: Herpailurus yagouaroundi (jaguarundi)
Lineage: Eukaryota; Metazoa; Chordata; Mammalia; Carnivora; Felidae
Exons: 4
Source: RefSeq, a predicted model, not a curated record